This 478-nucleotide ribosomal RNA is filed under the name uncultured bacterium. RNAcentral describes it as "bacterial SSU rRNA". It matches the Rfam family "Bacterial small subunit ribosomal RNA", at positions 22 to 495 of the family's 1533-position model. The record is from RNAcentral.
GCUCAGGAUGAACGCUAGCGACAGGCUUAACACAUGCAAGUCGAGGGGCAGCACGAUGUAGCAAUACAUUGGUGGCGACCGGCGCACGGGUGAGUAACGCGUAUGCAACCUACCUAUCAGAGGGGAAUAACCCGGCGAAAGUCGGACUAAUACCGCAUAAAACAGGGGUUCCACAUGGAAAUAUUUGUUAAAGAAUUAUCGCUGAUAGAUGGGCAUGCGUUCCAUUAGAUAGUUGGUGAGGUAACGGCUCACCAAGUCCACGAUGGAUAGGGGUUCUGAGAGGAAGGUCCCCCACACUGGUACUGAGACACGGACCAGACUCCUACGGGAGGCAGCAGUGAGGAAUAUUGGUCAAUGGGCGAGAGCCUGAACCAGCCAAGUCGCGUGAAGGAUGAAGGAUCUAUGGUUUGUAAACUUCUUUUAUAUGGGAAUAAAGUGAGGAACGUGUUCCUUUAGUAUGUACCAUAGAAUAGCAUGG